Molecule: long non-coding RNA, 720 nt
Organism: Bemisia tabaci
Lineage: Eukaryota; Metazoa; Arthropoda; Insecta; Hemiptera; Aleyrodidae
Source: RefSeq, a predicted model, not a curated record
GAAACCAUGAGCAUGCGCAACAUCUGCGACAUGUGUGAUUGAACUUUUUCAUAUCAAUUACAGCUUUAAAUAAAUAGUUUUCUUCAUUAAUGCAGCAUUAUUUCCAGUACCACCGGUUGCAUCUAUAUUUUUACCUCCUGUAUACAACAGAAAAUAACUAAGUCUCUACCCUCUGCAAUUACUGGUGCUUCACUUCAAUUGUGGUAGUUGGUCGUUUAGAAACUAUUCCCUCCCGAUCGAAGAAAAAAUAAUCAUGUGGAUUACUAUAUGUGCUUUAGCUGGUGCUUUCUUGCCGUUUUUCAUUAAUUUAUAUUGGAUGCCAGAAUUUUUUUGUAUUGACACCGCCGAAUGCACUAAAAUGCGGCCAUUCAAGUGGCAAUGACAGCACCUAUCAAUUUUCGGCAGUUGACUAAAUGGGUGCAGACCACAUUAUCAUCAUUGCAAACCGACAUGAUGGAAAUCAACUAAAUUUUCCUCUUCGAUUUUUUCAUGUGGAAGCAGUUAUUCCAUAAUGGAUGCAUCGGUCAAUAAAUACAGUUUCCCCAAAAUACUUAAAGACACGUUAAAUGGUGUCGGACAAGUGGACGUUUACAAACCUGUAACGCAAUAUUUGACAAGAAAUACUUGUAAUAUCUGCGGAAAAGUUUUGUUCCAGAUACUUUUCAUUUUUAUUGAACAAAGAUGAAAAAAUCAAUAAAAAUCCCUAAAAGUAGAAACAAA